AUACAGUGGAUGUAGAAUGCUACUUGUAGAAUGGAAAAUGCAUUUACUGCUCAGUCUCUGCUCAGAUUUCUUUCCCAUGUUUUCUUGAUUCAGGCCCAUGUUAAGUUAGCAGGAAAAAGUUACUUGUAGCGCCUGCUGAAAUUCUUACUUUACACAAAGUAGAUGUUAGUAAGCUGGGGAAGAAGAUUCAUGUAUUUCCUGCUAAUUCCAUAGAGAACAUGUAUCUUUAUUAAUGUUAAUGGUGGAGGCCUCUCAUUAUGUUAUAGAAUAAUCUGCUUUAGCAAAGGUUUUUCUCCUCAAGAACUUCAUAACAUUUAAAGGUUAAUACGUUAGGUAAAGAAUAAUAUCUUAAGAUAAGCGUUUUUAUUACAGGACAUGAUGGGAUGGUUUUUAUUAAAUUACGUGAUGAUUUGAAUGGGGAGGAAGCAGUGCACCGCUUCUUUGCCCUCAACUUUAAUGCCUUUAAUCAAAUAACGACCUUCUGGAAAAUAGUUAGUUUUCAGCGUUUGGAAAGAUCAAUACCACUUUGCUACCAAAAAAUGGCCCAGACGAUGAGAUUUGAUGUAUUUAAAGUAUC
This 577-nucleotide long non-coding RNA is filed under the name Bos taurus (domestic cattle). RNAcentral describes it as "long non-coding RNA NONBTAT001645". Lineage: Eukaryota; Metazoa; Chordata; Mammalia; Artiodactyla; Bovidae. The record is from RNAcentral.